GAAUAAGAAGUAAAUAUUUACAUUUAGUUUCGACCUAAAAAUUUGGUAUUCUCUGUACCCUUAUUUA
This 67-nucleotide transfer RNA is filed under the name Scarites subterraneus. RNAcentral's name for it is "tRNA-Arg". The record is from RNAcentral. Lineage: Eukaryota; Metazoa; Arthropoda; Insecta; Coleoptera; Carabidae.